Molecule: ribosomal RNA, 106 nt
Filed under: uncultured bacterium
Lineage: Bacteria
Description: partial 16S ribosomal RNA
Rfam family: Bacterial small subunit ribosomal RNA
Source: RNAcentral
CCGUCACACCAUGAGAGUUGGAAAUACCCGAAGCCUGUGAGCUAACUUAAAGAGGCAGCAGUCGAAGGUAGAGCCAAUGAUUGGGGUGAAGUCGUAACAAGGUAUC